Molecule: ribosomal RNA, 378 nt
Filed under: uncultured archaeon
Lineage: Archaea
Description: bacterial SSU rRNA
Rfam family: Archaeal small subunit ribosomal RNA
Source: RNAcentral
CCGACGGUGAGGGACGAAAGCUGGGGGAGCAAACCGGAUUAGAUACCCGGGUAGUCCCAGCCGUAAACGAUGUGCGUUAGGUGUAUCGGUGACCACGAGUCACCGAGGUGCCGAAGAGAAAUCGUGAAACGUACCGCCUGGGAAGUACGGUCGCAAGGCUGAAACUUAAAGGAAUUGGCGGGGGAGCACCACAACAGGUGGAGCCUGCGGUUUAAUCGGACUCAACGCCGGAAAACUCACCAGAUAAGACAGCUGAAUGAUAGUCGGGCUGAAGACUCUACUUGACUAGCUGAGAGGAGGUGCAUGGCCGUCGUCAGUUCGUACUGUGAAGCAUCCUGUUAAGUCAGGCAACGAGCGAGACCCACGCCAACAGUUGCU